UACGAAGGGGGCUAGCGUUGCUCGGAAUCACUGGGCGUAAAGCGCACGUAGGCGGCUUUUUAAGUCAGGGGUGAAAUCCUGGAGCUCAACUCCAGAACUGCCUUUGAUACUGAGAAGCUUGAGUCCGGAAGAGGUGAGUGGAACUCCGAGUGUAGAGGUGAAAUUCGCAGAUAUCGGGAAGAACACCCGUGGCGAAGGCGGCUCUCUGGGACGGUACUGACGCUGAGACGCGAAAGCGUGGGGAGCGAACAGG
RNAcentral lists this ribosomal RNA (253 nucleotides) under uncultured bacterium. Its description in RNAcentral is "partial 16S ribosomal RNA". It matches the Rfam family "Bacterial small subunit ribosomal RNA", at positions 524 to 776 of the family's 1533-position model. The record is from RNAcentral.